RNAcentral lists this ribosomal RNA (433 nucleotides) under uncultured bacterium. RNAcentral's name for it is "partial 16S ribosomal RNA". It matches the Rfam family "Bacterial small subunit ribosomal RNA", at positions 29 to 507 of the family's 1533-position model. The record is from RNAcentral.
AGCGAACGCUGGCGGCAGGCCUAACACAUGCAAGUCGAACGGAUCCUUCGGGAUUAGUGGCGGACGGGUGAGUAACACGUGGGAACGUGCCCUUUGGUUCGGAACAACUCAGGGAAACUUGAGCUAAUACCGGAUGUGCCCUUCGGGGGAAAGAUCUAUCGCCAUUGGAGCGGCCCGCGUCUGAUUAGCUAGUUGGUGAGGUAACGGCCCACCAAGGCGACGAUCAGUAGCUGGUCUGAGAGGAUGAUCAGCCACACUGGGACUGAGACACGGCCCAGACUCCUACGGGAGGCAGCAGUGGGGAAUCUUGCGCAAUGGGCGAAAGCCUGACGCAGCCAUGCCGCGUGAAUGAUGAAGGUCUUAGGAUUGUAAAAUUCUUUCAGCGGGGACGAUAAUGACGGUACCCGCAGAAGAAGCUCCGGCUAACUUCGUG